Molecule: ribosomal RNA, 829 nt
Filed under: uncultured bacterium
Lineage: Bacteria
Description: bacterial SSU rRNA
Rfam family: Bacterial small subunit ribosomal RNA
Source: RNAcentral
AAUAAACGCUGGCGGCGUGCUUAACACAUGCAAGUCGAACGAGAAAGUUUUAGCUUGCUAGAACGAGUAAAGUGGCGCACGGGUGAGUAACGCGUGGGUAAUUUACCCUUGAAUUUGGAAUAACGUUGCGAAAGCGACGCUAAUACCGGAUGACAUAUUUUUUUCUGCGGAAUGAGAUAUCAAAGAGAGCCUCUACAUGUAAGCUUUCGUUUGAGGAUAAGCCCGCGUACCAUUAGCUUGUUGGUAGGGUAAUGGCCUACCAAGGCUACGAUGGUUAGCUGGUCUGAGAGGAUGAUCAGCCACACUGGAACCGACACACGGUCCAGACUCCUACGGGAGGCAGCAGUGAGGAAUUUUGCGCAAUGGGGGAAACCCUGACGCAGCAACGCCGCGUGAGUGAUGAAGGCCUUAGGGUCGUAAAGCUCUGUCAAGUGGGAAGAACAAGCUUGGUGUUAAUAGCAUUAAGCCCUGACGGUACCACUGGAGGAAGCACCGGCAAACUCCGUGCCAGCAGCCGCGGUAAUACGGGGGGUGCAAGCGUUAUUCGGAAUCAUUGGGCGUAAAGGGAGCGCAGGCGGUCUUGUAAGUCAGAUGUGAAAGCCCGGGGCUUAACCCCGGAAGUGCAUUUGAAACUAUAAGACUUGAGUAUGGGAGAGGAAAGCGGAAUUCCUGGUGUAGAGGUGAAAUUCGUAGAUAUCAGGAGGAACAUCGGUGGCGAAGGCGGCUUUCUGGACCAAUACUGACGCUGAGGCUCGAAGGCGUGGGGAGCAAACAGGAUUAGAUACCCUGGUAGUCCACGCAGUAAACGUUGAUCACUAGGUGAAGCGGG